This 393-nucleotide ribosomal RNA is filed under the name uncultured bacterium. RNAcentral's name for it is "partial 16S ribosomal RNA". It matches the Rfam family "Bacterial small subunit ribosomal RNA", at positions 523 to 918 of the family's 1533-position model. The record is from RNAcentral.
AUAAGGAAGGUCCAGGCGUUAUCCGGAUUUAUUGGGUUUAAAGGGAGCGCAGGCCGGUGUGUAAGCGUGACGUCAAAUACAGCCGCUCAACGGUUGCCCGCGUCGCGAACUGCACGCCUUGAGUACGCUGCAAGUGGGCGGCAUUCGGGGUGUAGCGGUGAAAUGCUUAGAUAUCACGAAGACCUCCGAUUGCGAAGGCAGCCCGCUGUGUCGUCACUGACGCUGAGGCUCGAAGGUGCGGGUAUCGAACAGGAUUAGAUGCCCUGGUAGUCCGCACUGUAAACGAUGGACACCCGCUGUGUGGCCCUUGUGGUUGCGCGGCCAAGCGAAAGCAUUAAGUGUCCCACCUGGGGAGUACGCCGGCAACGGUGAAACUCAAAGGAAUUGACGGGG